CAGCAGCCGCGGGAAAACGUAAGGUGCGAGCGUUAAUCGGAAUUACUGGGCGUAAAGCGUGCGCAGGCGGUUGUGUAAGACAGGUGUGAAAUCCCCGGGCUUAACCUGGGAACUGCGCUUGUGACUGCACAGCUAGAGUAUGGCAGAGGGGGGUGGAAUUCCACGUGUAGCAGUGAAAUGCGUAGAGAUGUGGAGGAACACCGAUGGCGAAGGCAGCCCCCUGGGCCAAUACUGACGCUCAUGCACGAAAGCGUGGGGAGCAAACAGGAUUAGAGACCCGUGUAGUCCCUGUCUCUUAUAC
This 301-nucleotide ribosomal RNA is filed under the name uncultured bacterium. RNAcentral's name for it is "partial 16S ribosomal RNA". It matches the Rfam family "Bacterial small subunit ribosomal RNA", at positions 509 to 807 of the family's 1533-position model. The record is from RNAcentral.